Molecule: ribosomal RNA, 696 nt
Filed under: Triticum aestivum (bread wheat)
Lineage: Eukaryota; Viridiplantae; Streptophyta; Magnoliopsida; Poales; Poaceae
Description: partial small subunit ribosomal RNA
Source: RNAcentral
AUGGAGGGCACCUUCGUGGAGACAAUCAAGGAGUGGCAGCGGGAGUGGUUCUACAUCACCGCGCCGCUUGCCCGAAGGCCAGGCUGGGGUCCUAGCGUUCUCGGCCGAUUCUCCGAGGGGGCUCAUCUCAUGGAUGAGAAAGGGCCUGAAUUGGGGCAACCCCGAGGAGGUAGCAGUGUUGAAGAAGAAGAUCGAGUCCAUGAGGGACAAGAAGAAGAUCCCCUUCUCCCUCUAUCGGCCCUCUUCUCCUCCCCGGCCACCGUCGUGGCCUUUGAGGACAAGGACGACGGCUGCGCGCUUGGCGUAGGCGGAUUCCACCAUCUCGUCAUCACCUUCCAGGUCGCUCUACACCCGGACAUGGGACUGGCGCGCGGGCGCCGACAUCUGUGCGCCCGAGAUCGUCGGAGCCGCAUCAGGCUGGUUAACAUCCUCUGCUACACCCCCGACGCGGGAGCGGGAUGCAUCGACCUCAACCCCCUGCCGCAGGAGGUCGAGGGCCGCCGGGACUGGGAGACCGCCGAGAUGCCGGGCAGAUUCAGCGCCGACCAGAGCGCCAAGGAGGUGGCCGUGCUCUACGUGGUGCCCGGCGACCGCGCCGGCCAGUUCCACGCCGAGAAGAUGGGCUACCAUGACGAGAUGGUCCUGCUCUGCUCCCAGGGCACCGCUGAGGUGCUCGUGCUGGCUGCCAGACCUUGA